This 64-nucleotide transfer RNA is filed under the name Cucujoidea sp. 44 KM-2017. RNAcentral's name for it is "tRNA-Tyr". The record is from RNAcentral. Lineage: Eukaryota; Metazoa; Arthropoda; Insecta; Coleoptera.
GAUGAAAUGGCUGAAAAUAAGCGAUAAAUUGUAAAUUUAUUUAUGAAGGAACCUUCUUUUAUCA